Silurus meridionalis is the source of this 139-nucleotide long non-coding RNA. RefSeq lists it as uncharacterized. The transcript has 2 exons. Lineage: Eukaryota; Metazoa; Chordata; Actinopteri; Siluriformes; Siluridae. The record is from RefSeq and is a predicted model, not a curated record.
ACGGCUCCUCGUCCUGGCGACUCCCAAUCGCUCAGAGAGGAUAAGCCAGAGCUCGCUUUCCAGCAGUCUGACUUUGACCUUGAGCCAGUCUCAACCACAGUCGAGAAUUCCAGUGUGUCUCCUGUGAUUGUGGAGCAUC